This is a long non-coding RNA of Gorilla gorilla gorilla (western lowland gorilla), 3591 nucleotides long. RefSeq lists it as uncharacterized. The transcript is spliced from 3 exons. Lineage: Eukaryota; Metazoa; Chordata; Mammalia; Primates; Hominidae. The record is from RefSeq and is a predicted model, not a curated record.
GUUUAUCAGGGGUUUCCGCUAUUGCUUCGUCUUCAUUUUCUCUUGCUGCUACCAUGGAAGAAGCGACUUUCACCUCCCGCCGUGAUUCUGAGGCCUUUCCAGCCAUGUCAAACUCAAAAUGUGACUGAAAAACAGAAGCAUUUGGGAUACAUAACAGAAGUCAUUAAAAAGAGCCAUGUAAUAUGUGCCUGCUUCCCCUUCUGCCAUGAUUGUAAGUUUCCUGAUGCCUUCUCAGCCAUGCAGAACUGUAAGUCAAUUAAACAUCCUUUGUUUAUAAAUUACGUGGUCUUUGGUAGUAUCUUUAUAGCAGUGUGAAAACAGACUAAUACACCAAGUAACUUUGCAAAAUGAUGUUUGACUGGCAAGUAUAAGACAAAAGACGAAGGAAAUUACAUAUCAAUGCUGUACUUCAGUUGAUAAAGUUUGUUUCUCAAAAUAAAACACAAAGAAUUUUAUAAAGGAUCUCAUUAUUGACUCACAGCUACACCAUCUCUAACCUUAACUUCUUCUAUUUUAUCCAUGCAUUCCAUACCAGCCCCGUUGGCAUUCCAAAUUCACUAUGUGUGCAAAUCAUGGAAUCAUUUCCUGUGAUAACUCCAGGUUCUAAUUCUGUCAUAAUACUUUGGGUCUUUGACUUUAUCUUUCUGAUAUUUUCUAGUUCCCUUGGAUUAUAUGACUUUUGAUUUCUCUUUGUUCUUUCAAAAGUGGAUAGAGCCUCCAACAACUUAACCUGUGCCUUAUUUAUGAAAACUGUGCAACUACAGUUUCUUUAUUUAUACUUCAAUUAGUUUCUUAUUAUUGGUGUUUCCUGCCCUCUGGCCAAUUUUAUGUUUUUAAAUCUUAAUUUGUCUGGAGCAUGCUUCAACCUCAAACUCUCAUGUUUAGCAUUUUCAUUGAUAUUACACAGUAAGUAGUACAUUUUAUUGACAUAUUUAAAGUUUCAUUUGAAUAUUUGAAGUUGAUUUUCAGAUAUGUGCAAUUUAAAUAUUGUAAGGUAUUUAUUGUGUAUUCUACUUAGGUAUCAAAACACCCAUUAACAUAUUUUACUUCUUUAUCUCUCAUUAAUAGUAAUAUAUUUUCCAAUAUUUUAUUUUAAAAUGCAUAGUAACUUAGAAGUACUUUGGCGAUGAAACUUAAGAAUACAAGUUCUUUUUCUCCUCAGAAAGUUUUACUUAGUCAAUAUUUGACUACAUAACGUGUUAAAGAUAAUAAGCCUAUCGAAGUCUCAGCAGAUCAAAUUUACUUUCCAAUUCCCUUCCCUACAUGUGAAUAAACUCAGUACAAAUUCUGGAUUUUGUCAAGCCUUGAGGCAAAAUCAGAAUUUACUAAUAGAAACUGAAGUAGAAAGGUUCCUUGUGACAAAUGCCAGAAGAACUAAUUCUUUUCCUCUACAUUAAAUAAAAAUAAAAUCACUCUGCUAAUGGGAUACUUGAAGUUGUUAUAUCAGAAAAUAAAAUUGUGAAUUCUCCUUAAUAAAACUUGGGACAAUAAAAAAUGAAACAAAAAAAGAAAGAAAACUUCUUGAGUCAUAAAUUAUCUCAAAAAUAUGCCAUACACACCAAUUCUGUUUUCCAUAUCCACAACACUAAAUGCUCCCUUUUAUUUCAAGCUAAGCAUUAAAUUUUUCAUUCUGUCAGACAACAUUGUUUCUAUCAACUGUACCUAAAAAAGGACUAUUCAGAGCAGAAGGAAAACAACCAAAUAUACAAAUUUAAUUUUUAUGAUAAAAGCUGUAAAAAAGCGAAGACUUAUGCAGAAAAUCAUCUCUGAAAUGUAUCUGAAUGAAUAUAAAUAAUGAUGUUCCGAUUAAACUUAGUAUGUGUGUCAUGAGAAGGGCAUAGCAUGGGUACUAUAUUACUUGAGCUUAAUGUUUCUAUUGUCUGUUUUCUAUUACAACUUAUCAUUGUACAUGUACUAUAUUUUAACUAUGAAAAUAAAAAUAUAAGCCAAAAAAUAAAGAGAAUAUAACUGUUUCUCUUCUGCAUAGUAUGUGGUACCCAAACAUAUUAGGCUCUUAAGUGACAUAUAGUUUUGUGUGUUUUUUUAAAAAAGAGGAAGAAAACACAAAGUCUCGCUCCAUCACCCAGGCUGGCGUGCAGUGGGCAAUCUUGGCUGAAUGCUACCUCUGCCUCCCAGAUUCAACAGAUUCUCAUGUAUCAGCUUCGCUAGUAGUUGAGAUUACAGGCACUUGCCACCACGCCCAUUUUUUGGGUUUUAAAAGAGGCCAACAGCUGACCUCUCUACCUGCUACUGCGACUUAAUUCAUUGCUGUGUCACCACUGCAAAGUGCCUAAAAAGCCACCAACCCUAGGAUGAGACAUUGAAUUUAGUUAUCAUCUUUCUCCAAAGACCAUCUAAAUAAAUUCUAUCACACACUUCGUCACUAUUUAUUCUCUUUUACUUUUAAUAAACUAUUUUAGAACAAUUUUAGAUUUGCAGAAAACUGUGAGGAUAUCAUAAUACAGAGUUUCCAAUUUCCACAUACCCUGCUGCAAGUUCUCCCUAUUAUUAAACUCUUAUGUAAGCAUGGUACACUCAUUGCAAUUACUGAAAUGAUAUUGAUUUUUAUAUUAUUAUUGUUAUCAUUAUGUAAAUGCCAUGCUUUAUUCGUAUUUUCUUUUUAUGUUUCAUGCAUAAGCCCAUUCAGGAUACUGCAUUGUAUUUAGUUGUCAUGUCACAUUUGCCUACCUUAAUUUUGACGACUUCUCGGACUUUUCUUGUUUUCGAUGACCUUCACAAUUUUGAGAAUAACUUGUCAGACAUUUUGUAGAAUAUUAUUCCGUAGGGUUUGUCUGGUGUUUUUCUCAUAAUUUGACUUGGGUUAUGGGAUUUGGGGAGGAAAGGCAUAGAUGUAAAAUGCCAUUUUCCCGAAUAUCAUAUCAGUGGUCCAAACUAUCAACCUGACAUAUCACUGUUGAUAUUUACCUUGAUCUCCUGGCUGAGGUAGUUUUGUCAGGUUUCUGCAUUGUGAAGGUAUUCUUUUUAGUCUUUUUACCACAAUCACCUAGAAGGACAUCUUUAUGUGUAGCUCACACCUAAUAAUUAGAGUUAUGUUCCACUUUCUUGAGAGCUGCCUAAAUUAUUUGAGAUUCUUCUGCAUGGGAGAUUUGUUUCUUCUCUUCCAUUCAUUUAUUUAUUGAAUUAUUUAUUUAUAUCAGUAUAAACUGAUGGAUAUAUAUUUUAUAUUAUGGGUUAUAUUUUAAUACAAUUUUAUUUUGUUCUUCAACUUUUUUCAGAUGUAGACAAUGGGAGCUCUUUCAGUUGGCUCCUGUGUACCUUUGACAUAUCAAAAUCAAUUUGUGUGUGUGUGUGUGUGUGUGUGUGUGGUGUGUUUUGAGCAUGCUUUACAUUAUGGCACUCUGAAAUGCACCAGCUUGUCUUGUAUCUUUUCUUUCCUAGUCCUAGAAUCAGCUGUUUCUUCGAUGAAUCCUAUCUCCUUUUAUUGGAGAAUGACAUUAGACAGGAAGAUUUUAGGGUAUGCAUACUGGCUCAUGCUUGUAAUCCUAGCACUUCUUGGAAGCCAAGGUGGGAGGAUUGCUUGAGGCCAGGAGUUUGAGACCGCCUUGGCCAACACAGGGAGACCUCAUAUCU